AUGCUAGCACGCUAUGAUGAAGCCGGCGGAAUGCAGUGCGUUGAUAUUUUCCAAUGUUGCUAUCACUUGUCCAGGUCAGCUGUAAAAUGGGACCUGGGUUCAAAUCGAACAAUGAAAACACGAGACUGCAACUCAGCACAGAGCACUGACUCACAUUGCAGAUGCCUCGUGUGAAGACAGGAUUGGUGAUCCUGAAACAUGGAGAGCAUCUGUCCAGAUAUGUAUUCAUGGAGAAGUGCAGUAAUGCAGGCUCAGUCGUGCAGCCGGUCAACACACACAGGCCCAAUGAAACAAGGUUGCUACAACUGACUUCCAGGCUGUGAAGAAAGGCCUGACGGUGGGCAACCAGUGUCUGCUUCUGAAGCAGGAGCAUGAGAAAAACAUACUGACAGCUUCUUUGCUCAUGCUCCACAAGGGAAAGCAGCGUCUUGUGCUAAAACCUGACGCCAUCUACCCUCAGAUACUUGUGCGAAAGACGUUGUGGAUAUGAAUUUGCCGUCACUCUUCUGUUACAAUAAAUGUAUAUCCGUGA
Long non-coding RNA from Chelmon rostratus (copperband butterflyfish), 532 nucleotides. RefSeq lists it as uncharacterized. The transcript has 5 exons. Lineage: Eukaryota; Metazoa; Chordata; Actinopteri; Chaetodontiformes; Chaetodontidae. The record is from RefSeq and is a predicted model, not a curated record.